GCGCGAAAACUUUACAAUGCUGGCAACAGCGAUAAGGGAACCUCGAGUGCCAGGUUACAAAUCUGGCUGUCGAGAUGCCUAAAAAGCAUUUCAUAGCAAGGGCCGGGCAAGACCGGUGCCAGCCGCCGCGGUAACACCGGCGGCUCGAGUGGUAACCGUUAUUAUUGGGUCUAAAGGGUCUGUAGCCGGCCGGAUAAGUCUCUUGAGAAAUCUGGCAGCUUAACUGUCAGGCUUUCAGGAGAUACUGUCUGGCUCGAGGCCGGGAGAGGUGAGAGGUACUUCAGGGGUAGGGUGAAAGUCUUGUAAUCCUUGAAGGACCACCAGUGGCGAAGGCGUCUCACCAGAACGGACCUGACGGCAAGGGACGAAAGCAGGGGCACGAACCGGAUUAGAGACCCGAGU
Molecule: ribosomal RNA, 402 nt
Filed under: uncultured bacterium
Lineage: Bacteria
Description: bacterial SSU rRNA
Rfam family: Archaeal small subunit ribosomal RNA
Source: RNAcentral